GACGAACGCUGGCGGCGUGCCUAAUACAUGCAAGUAGAACGCUGAAGGAGGAGCUUGCUCUUCUGGAUGAGUUGCGAACGGGUGAGUAACGCGUAGGUAACCUGCCUGGUAGCGGGGGAUAACUAUUGGAAACGAUAGCUAAUACCGCAUAAAAUUGAUUAUUGCAUGAUAGUCAAUUAAAAGGUGCAAUUGCAUCACUACCAGAUGGACCUGCGUUGUAUUAGCUAGUUGGUGAGGUAACGGCUCACCAAGGCAACGAUACAUAGCCGACCUGAGAGGGUGAUCGGCCACACUGGGACUGAGACACGGCCCAGACUCCUACGGGAGGCAGCAGUAGGGAAUCUUCGGCAAUGGACGGAAGUCUGACCGAGCAACGCCGCGUGAGUGAAGAAGGGUUUCGGAUCGUGAAGCUCUGUUGUAAGAGAAGAACGAGUGUGAGAGUGGAAAGUUCACACUGUGACGGUAUCUUACCAGAAAGGGACGGCUAACUACGUG
RNAcentral lists this ribosomal RNA (495 nucleotides) under uncultured bacterium. RNAcentral's name for it is "partial 16S ribosomal RNA". It matches the Rfam family "Bacterial small subunit ribosomal RNA", at positions 28 to 507 of the family's 1533-position model. The record is from RNAcentral.